CUCCAGGACAAGCUGUGAAACGCCUAGAUUCCAGAGCAACAGACUGUGAUCCAUUCCCAACAACCCCUCCCUACCGUCUGCCACCAGUUCCCUUAAAGCAGGAAUCAGAGCUAGACUGACUCAACUAAGAAUUGUUUUGGAGAACUUGGAACUCAACAUUCCAUAAAGCAAGAAGCUUGACAUAGCAUCGAUGAGCCCAAGUCAACUAUAUGAACAAAACAAUGUCUCAGGAGGGGCAGGGAAUCACGUCAGAAGAAUCCUGAGUCCUUAGAUGACCUUGUAGAAAAG
This is a long non-coding RNA of Pan troglodytes (chimpanzee), 288 nucleotides long. RefSeq lists it as uncharacterized. The record is from RefSeq and is a predicted model, not a curated record. The transcript has 3 exons. Lineage: Eukaryota; Metazoa; Chordata; Mammalia; Primates; Hominidae.